AACAGUGGCUAGGGAUUCUAUUUCUUCGCAUCAUCUUCUCCUUGAUGCCCCUUUCCUUCCUCUUUCCCUAUUAACGAUGCGAAGACGACGACGUCGACUUCCGGAGGAGCAGUAGGUGACAACAACCAUCGGGCAACACCGGAGUGACGCUAUGAAGAAGGUAGCAGGAGCUCAGAUUUUCCAUCGUUCCACUUUCCCCUUCGUCGGAGGAGACCAGUCGGCGUUCAUCCGCAUUUCUCAACCAUCAGUUGGAUCUCUAAGUUUCUCUGCCAUGCGCGGUGAAGAAGGCAACGACUUAGCGUUCUGACAACCCAUUUUUCUCCAUUUCACAGACGAAGUUACAGUAGAGAUCUUCCAGGUUUCGACACUAGACCUCAAUCUGCUCGGUGAGGUGAAGAAGGCAGAUCUAGGUUGAUGGUUCUUGGUAGAUUUCCUUCGCAGCAAAUUUCUCACGGAGUUGUUUGCUUCGAGGGAUAUUGCACUUCCAUUGUCAUCGAUUAACUCUCCGAUUAGCAGUGUCGUCGUCCAUCAAAUUCAGGGGAAUUCCGAGUGACAGCAGUUUUCUUCCUCGGUAGUUCCGUUUGUGACAGGUGGAACACUUCUCGUGUUUGUUCGUGGAAAAAUGGUUUGGAUAGUUUAAUUUACUUUCUAGUUGAUUGUUUCAUGUUUAGUUGUUAGCUUAUUUUUGUAUUUGAUUUUAUGGUUGUUAUGACACAUGCUAAAUUUGUUAGUUUUGAUAUUCUGUUUAGUUUCAUUCAUGCAUGAGGGUUAAUUCUGUAUCAUUGGGUGACAAUGUGGUGCAGGGUGAUCGUUUAUGCAUAAUUAGGUUUAAUUUAUUGCUGUUAAGUUGUUUA
Molecule: long non-coding RNA, 854 nt
Organism: Zingiber officinale
Lineage: Eukaryota; Viridiplantae; Streptophyta; Magnoliopsida; Zingiberales; Zingiberaceae
Exons: 2
Source: RefSeq, a predicted model, not a curated record